GUGCUCCCUUCAGUAACUCACAUGCUAAAGUUGGAACAAUACGGAGAGAUUAUCAUGGCUCUAUGUAAGGCUGGUAUGCAAACUUGUGAAGUGUUCCCUACGCUU
Molecule: small nuclear RNA, 105 nt
Filed under: Fukomys damarensis (Damara mole-rat)
Lineage: Eukaryota; Metazoa; Chordata; Mammalia; Rodentia; Bathyergidae
Source: RNAcentral